Molecule: ribosomal RNA, 254 nt
Filed under: uncultured bacterium
Lineage: Bacteria
Description: partial 16S ribosomal RNA
Rfam family: Bacterial small subunit ribosomal RNA
Source: RNAcentral
UACGAAGGGUGCGAGCGUUGUCCGGAAUUAUUGGGCGUAAAGAGCUCGUAGGCGGUGUGUCACGUCGGCCGUGAAAACCUGGGGCUUAACUCUGGGCGUGCGGUCGAUACGGGCAUCACUAGAGUUCGGCAGGGGAGACUGGAAUUCCUGGUGUAGCGGUGAAAUGCGCAGAUAUCAGGAGGAACACCGGUGGCGAAGGCGGGUCUCUGGGCCAUUACUGACGCUGAGGAGCGAAAGCGUGGGGAGCGAACAGG